UACGUAGGUGGCAAGCGUUGUUCGGAAUUAUUGGGCGUAAAGGGCGCGUAGGCGGUUUGUUAAGUCGGUUGUGAAAGCCCGGGGCUCAACCCCGGAGGGUCAACCGAUACUGGCAGGCUAGAGUACAGAAGAGGUAGCUGGAAUUCCCGGCGUAGCGGUGAAAUGCGUAGAUAUCGGGAGGAACACCUGAGGCGAAGGCGGGCUACUGGGCUGAUACUGACGCUGAGGCGCGAAAGCCAGGGGAGCAAACGGG
Molecule: ribosomal RNA, 253 nt
Filed under: uncultured bacterium
Lineage: Bacteria
Description: partial 16S ribosomal RNA
Rfam family: Bacterial small subunit ribosomal RNA
Source: RNAcentral